UCCCUUGUGGCUCAGCUGGUAAAGAAUCUGCCUGCCAAGCGGAAGACCUGGGUUCAAUCCCUGGGUUGGGAA
This 72-nucleotide transfer RNA is filed under the name Bos taurus (domestic cattle). It matches the Rfam family "tRNA". From Rfam's summary of the family: Transfer RNA (tRNA) molecules are approximately 80 nucleotides in length. Their secondary structure includes four short double-helical elements and three loops (D, anti-codon, and T loops). Lineage: Eukaryota; Metazoa; Chordata; Mammalia; Artiodactyla; Bovidae. The record is from Rfam by way of RNAcentral. RNAcentral also lists the same sequence under 2 other names.